ACGGGGAUCAUUAUCGUAGCAACACAUCUUUGGGGGUGAAGGCAUUCCCGCGCGGUGUUAGCUAAGUUUUCAUGUUACCGGGUGUAGUUCGUAAAGGUUGAUAUGUGUAUGUUAGGAUGAAGCGUGAAUUCAUGCCAGGAAUAAUAAGUGUGACGUUUGAUUUCCUCCCUUCUGUAAUAAGCAGCCAAUGAGUUCUCACGGAAGGUGAUAAUUCUGACUAAACUACAGAAUAAAGCCGCCAGUUAAAAUCAA
Molecule: non-coding RNA, 252 nt
Organism: Salmo salar (Atlantic salmon)
Lineage: Eukaryota; Metazoa; Chordata; Actinopteri; Salmoniformes; Salmonidae
Source: RefSeq, a predicted model, not a curated record